Molecule: ribosomal RNA, 497 nt
Filed under: uncultured bacterium
Lineage: Bacteria
Description: partial 16S ribosomal RNA
Rfam family: Bacterial small subunit ribosomal RNA
Source: RNAcentral
GAUGAACGCUGGCGGCGUGCCUAAUACAUGCAAGUCGAGCGAACAGAUGAGGAGCUUGCUCCUCUGACGUUAGCGGCGGACGGGUGAGUAACACGUGGAUAACCUACCUAUAAGACUGGGAUAACUUCGGGAAACCGGAGCUAAUACCGGAUAAUAUAUUGAACCGCAUGGUUCAAUAGUGAAAGACGGUUUUGCUGUCACUUAUAGAUGGAUCCGCGCCGCAUUAGCUAGUUGGUAAGGUAACGGCUUACCAAGGCAACGAUGCGUAGCCGACCUGAGAGGGUGAUCGGCCACACUGGAACUGAGACACGGUCCAGACUCCUACGGGAGGCAGCAGUAGGGAAUCUUCCGCAAUGGGCGAAAGCCUGACGGAGCAACGCCGCGUGGGUGAAGAAGGUCUUCGGAUCGUAAAACUCUGUUAUUAGGGAAGAAAAAAUGUGUAAUUAAAUAUGCACGUCUUGACGGUACCUAAUCAAAAAGCCACGGCUAACUUCGUG